UUACGGCCACAUCAUGUUGAAACGCCAGUUCACGUAUGAUCAUCGAAGUUAAGAAACAUCAAGCCUGGUCAGUAUCUAGAUGGGUCACCACUUGGGAAUACCAUGAGC
Molecule: non-coding RNA, 108 nt
Organism: Acanthosepion pharaonis
Lineage: Eukaryota; Metazoa; Mollusca; Cephalopoda; Sepiida; Sepiidae
Source: the annotation of a GenBank genome assembly